RNAcentral lists this ribosomal RNA (551 nucleotides) under uncultured Eubacteriales bacterium. RNAcentral's name for it is "bacterial SSU rRNA". It matches the Rfam family "Bacterial small subunit ribosomal RNA", at positions 11 to 563 of the family's 1533-position model. The record is from RNAcentral. Lineage: Bacteria; Bacillati; Bacillota; Clostridia; Eubacteriales.
GUUUGAUCCUGGCUCAGUGACGAACGCUGGCGGCAUGCCUAACACAUGCAAGUCGAACGGACUUAGCUCUGUAGCAAUACAGUGGCGAAGUGUUAGUGGCGAACGGGUGAGUAACGCGUGAGCAACCUGCCUUUCAGAGGGGGACAACAGUUGGAAACGACUGCUAAUACCGCAUAAAGUAACGAGGGGGCAUCCCCAUGUUACCAAAGGAGAAAUCCGCUGAAAGAUGGGCUCACGUCUGAUUAGCUAGAUGGUAAGGUAACGGCUUACCAUGGCUUCGAUCAGUAGCCGGACUGAGAGGUUGAACGGCCACAUUGGGACUGGGAUACGGCCCAGACUCCUACGGGAGGCAGCAGUGGGGAAUAUUGGGCAAUGGGCGAAAGCCUGACCCAGCAAUGCCGCGUGAAGGAAGAAGGUUUUCGGAUUGUAAACUUCUUUUAUCAGGGACGAAAAACAAUGACGGUACCUGAUGAAUAAGCCACGGCUAACUACGUGCCAGCAGCCGCGGUAAUACGUAGGUGGCAAGCGUUGUCCGGAUUUACUGGGUGUAA